GACGAACGCUGGCGGCGUGCUUAACACAUGCAAGUCGUACGGUAAGGCCCUUUCGGGGGUCCACGAGUGGCGAACGGGUGAGUAACACGUGAGUAACCUGCCCACAACUUUGGGAUAACGCUAGGAAACUGGUGCUAAUACUGGAUAUGUGCUCCUGCUGUAUGGUGGGGGUUGGAAAGCUCCGGCGGUUGUGGAUGGACUCGCGGCCUAUCAGCUUGUUGGUGGGGUAGUGGCCUACCAAGGCGGCGACGGGUAGCCGGCCUGAGAGGGUGACCGGCCACAUUGGGACUGAGAUACGGCCCAGACUCCUACGGGAGGCAGCAGUGGGGAAUAUUGCACAAUGGGCGCAAGCCUGAUGCAGCAACGCCGCGUGCGGGAUGACGGCCUUCGGGUUGUAAACCGCUUUCAGCAGGGACGAAGCUUUUUGUGACGGUACCUGCAGAAGAAGCACCGGCUAACUACGUG
Molecule: ribosomal RNA, 465 nt
Filed under: uncultured bacterium
Lineage: Bacteria
Description: partial 16S ribosomal RNA
Rfam family: Bacterial small subunit ribosomal RNA
Source: RNAcentral